GGGGGGUACGUUAUCGGAAUACUGCGGCGUAAAGCGCGCGUAGGCGGCUUGAUAAGCCGGUUGUGAAAGCCCCGGGCCCAUCUGGGAAGGGCAUCCGGAACUGUCAAGCUUGAGUGCACGACUGGAAAGUGGAAUUCCCGGUGUAGCGGUGAAAUGCGUAGAGAUCGGGAGGAAUACCAGUGGCGAAGGCGGCCUUCUGGACUGACACUGACACUGAGGUGCGAAAGCGUGGGUAGCAAACAGGAUUAGAUACCCUGGUAGUCCACGCCGUAAACGAUGUCGACCAGCCGUUGGGUGCCUACCGCACUUUGUGGCGAAGUUAACGCCAUAAGUCAACCGCCUGGGGAGUACGGCCGCAAGGAUAGAACUCAAAUGAAUUGACGGGGGCCCGCACAAGCGGUGGAACAUGUGGUUUAAUUCCAUGCAACGCGAAGAACCUUACCUACUCUUGACAUCCUGCGAAUUUGGUAGAGAUACCUUAGUGCCUUCGGGAACGCAAAGACAGGUGCUGCAUGGCUGUCGUCAGCUCGUGUUGUGAAAUGUUGGGUUAAGUCCCGUAACGAGCGCAACCCUUGUCCUUAUUUGCCAGCGCGUAAUGGCGGGAACUCUAAGGAGACUGCCGGUGAAAACCGGAGGAAGGGGGGACGACGUAAGUCAUCAUGGCCCUUACGAUAGGGCUACACACGUGCUAAAUGGUCGGUAAAAGGGUUGCCAACUCGCGAGAGUGACCAAUCCCGAAAGCCGAUCUCAUCCGGAUCGGAUCUGCACUCGACUCCGUGAAUCGGAAUCGCUGUAAUCGAAAUCAAAUGCUAGGUGAAACGUUCCCGGCCUUGUCACCCGCCCGUCACACCAUGGGAGUGACUGCCCAGAAUGGUUAGCUAACGCAGAGGCGAUCACACAGGUGGUCAUGACUGGGUGAAUCUAAGGGGAUACCCAAAAUCUUAAGAAAACUAGUAUCUUUUAUAGU
RNAcentral lists this ribosomal RNA (967 nucleotides) under bacterium DR2(2014). RNAcentral describes it as "bacterial SSU rRNA". It matches the Rfam family "Bacterial small subunit ribosomal RNA", at positions 531 to 1533 of the family's 1533-position model. The record is from RNAcentral.